GACGAACGCNGGCGGCGUGCUUAACACAUGCAAGUCGAACGGAGCGAAUGAAAGCUUGCUUUUAUAAGCUUAGUGGCAAACGGGUGAGUAACACGUAGACAACCUGCCGACAGGAUGGGGACAACAUUCCGAAAGGAAUGCUAAUACCGAAUGAAGUGCAGGGGAGGCAUCUCCCCUGCAUGAAAGAUGGCCUCUUUUUAUGCUAUCACCUGUUGAUGGGUCUGCGUCUGAUUAGCUGGUAGGUGAGGUAACGGCUCACCUAGGCGACGAUCAGUAGCCGGUCUGAGAGGAUGAACGGCCACAUUGGGACUGAGACACGGCCCAGACUCCUACGGGAGGCAGCAGUGGGGAAUCUUCCGCAAUGGGCGCAAGCCUGACGGAGCAACGCCGCGUGAGUGAAGAAGGUCUUCGGAUCGUAAAGCUCUGUUGAUGGGGACGAACGUGCCUAAUGCGAAUAGUAUUAGGUAANGA
Molecule: ribosomal RNA, 471 nt
Filed under: uncultured bacterium
Lineage: Bacteria
Description: bacterial SSU rRNA
Rfam family: Bacterial small subunit ribosomal RNA
Source: RNAcentral